NNNUUUAGACAAGUCUCGUAAAUUUUAGGGACUGAUGUCAUUUUUAACGCGUCUUCUAUUUUUAGGGACC
This is a non-coding RNA of Populus trichocarpa (black cottonwood), 70 nucleotides long. NCBI's taxonomy places the organism in Eukaryota, Viridiplantae, Streptophyta, Magnoliopsida, Malpighiales, Salicaceae. The record is from Rfam.